RNAcentral lists this transfer RNA (58 nucleotides) under Dipodomys ordii (Ord's kangaroo rat). It matches the Rfam family "tRNA", at positions 8 to 63 of the family's 71-position model. Rfam says of the family: Transfer RNA (tRNA) molecules are approximately 80 nucleotides in length. Their secondary structure includes four short double-helical elements and three loops (D, anti-codon, and T loops). The record is from Rfam by way of RNAcentral. Lineage: Eukaryota; Metazoa; Chordata; Mammalia; Rodentia; Heteromyidae.
UGGCUCAGUGGUAGAGCGCUUGCCUUGCAUGCAUGAGGCCCUGAGUUCCAUUCCUCAG